This 209-nucleotide unclassified non-coding RNA is filed under the name Hevea brasiliensis (rubber tree). The record is from RNAcentral. Lineage: Eukaryota; Viridiplantae; Streptophyta; Magnoliopsida; Malpighiales; Euphorbiaceae.
GACUGAGGCUUAAUGAGUUGAAUUGAGUAAUUAUAGUUGAAUUUGUUUCCUACAAGGGGCCUUUGAUUUGCAUAAUUUGGCAUGUAUAAAUGUUGAAGAAAAUACACUAGCUUUUUCUUCUUACUUUUUAUUUUCCUUUUUUUAUUUCCACUAAGAAGAUACGAAUUUGCCAAAAUUUCUGUAUCCAGGUUCCCAUGGUUCCUUUACCA